RNAcentral lists this transfer RNA (72 nucleotides) under Phakopsora meibomiae. Its description in RNAcentral is "tRNA-Cys". Lineage: Eukaryota; Fungi; Basidiomycota; Pucciniomycetes; Pucciniales; Phakopsoraceae. The record is from RNAcentral. RNAcentral also lists the same sequence under 1 other name.
GGUGCACGAGUAGACGGUACUACACGAUAGUUGCAACCUAUUAGUUUAACGGGUUCAAUUCCUGGUGUACCU